This 446-nucleotide ribosomal RNA is filed under the name uncultured bacterium. RNAcentral describes it as "partial 16S ribosomal RNA". It matches the Rfam family "Bacterial small subunit ribosomal RNA", at positions 338 to 795 of the family's 1533-position model. The record is from RNAcentral.
CCUACGGGUGGCAGCAGUCGAGAAUCAUUCACAAUGGGGGAAACCCUGAUGGUGCGACGCCGCGUGGGGGAAUGAAGGUCUUCGGAUUGUAAACCCCUGUCAUGUGGGAGCAAAUUAAAAAGAUAGUACCACAAUAGGAAGAGACGGCUAACUCUGUGCCAGCAGCCGCGGUAAUACAGAGGUCUCAAGCGUUGUUCGGAAUCACUGGGCGUAAAGCGUGCGUAGGCUGUUUCGUAAGUCGUGUGUGAAAGGCGCGGGCUCAACCCGCGGACGGCACAUGAUACUGCGAGACUAGAGUAAGGGAGGGGGAACCGGAAUUCUCGGUGUAGCAGUGAAAUGCGUAGAUAUCGAGAGGAACACUCGUGGCGAAGGCGGGUUCCUGGACAUUAACUGACGCUGAGGCACGAAGGCCAGGGGAGCGAAAGGGAUUAGAUACCCUGGUAGUC